AGCUUCGAUAUUCACAAUCUGUUGAAUGAAGGGCUGCUGGUUUGGGUCAGUCCUUGAGGACUUGGGCAGCCCUAGAGGACUUGCACAUUAACCCUUCCAGCCUCUACCCCACAGAUGCUCUGUCCAAGCAGGGAGAGGUAUACUGGCACAUCCUCAUCCUUGACAUGGGGAGUGGACCGGUCUGAUCUAACUGGUACAACUCUGCUGCAGCAUUCAGACCUUCAGCCAGCCCCAGGCAGCUUACCCAGGAGUGUAGCAGUAAUCCACUCCAUCCCAAAGCAGGACUGUGUACAUCGGAUAUAUGGGCAUACAAGAUUCGAAAACCAAGACCUUAACCAUAAAUGAGCCAGGUUUGAAUAUCAUCCACCCUCCUGUUCCUGAAAAAUAAGGAAGACAUCAGAAAAAAAAAAAUGAAAGAAAAAAAAACGCUCUUCAGGUAAGAACCUUGUAAACAGCGUUAUCUCCACCGUCAGAGCAGACCACAUGCACAUAAAAGGAUGUGUUAUCAAAAAUAUCUAUAAUGGUGACCUUAAAAAGGUACAAGAAGUGCUAAUGAAUUUCUUGUUAUUUUAGAAAGGGACUUUCUUCUCCGUUGGUGCGGAGAGCUUCCUGAAGCAAAAACAAAUGAAGCUCUUCUCUCUUUUUUUUUUUUAAUAUAAGUUAGAAAACUUUUUUGACUAAGUUUCUGCUCAGUUGUUUUCUAGCUAUUCAGAAUUAGGAGAUGACGCUCCAAAUGAAGACUUUUAAUGUACUGCCCUUGCUCGAAGGCUGCAUGACGUUAAGCAGGAGAACAUAGAGACACCCCUGUAGUUACAAUCAAGAUAGUUAUAAAAAAAAUAUUGUUAUGAGCAGUUCACUGGGGUUGGGCAGACAGAAGGUGAAGUGCCUUCCCCAGGCUACUUUUAGGGUUGGUGAAGGAACCAACACUAGCAUGAGGUGCUCUUAGCCAUCUCCUCUGGGCUUAUCUUUUUGAUGCGUAUUCCUGCAGUGGCAGGUCUUUCUCAACAAACUGUCCCUCUGUUAGCUCAUCUGGUUGCUCAGUUACGUUUGUUGGUUAUGAUUUCUCAUUUUCAAGGCCCUUGUUGAAUGCUGGCUGUUGUUUGGAUGGAGCCUGCCAAGGGCAGAGCCAAGCUCUCCCACCAAAGGUUGCUCAUGGCAGUGCUGGUGGCAAUGAGUCAGUACCAGCACCUCUGCCGUGACAACGUCACUUUUUGGGGAGGGUGAGAAGCUGAGGCUUGGUUGUGCAUGGCUGUUUGGGAUGCCACGGCAACCUGAGUGCAAACCCAAUCGCUUUACAACAGGUGUGGUUACCUCCUCCCUCCUGAAACCCAAAGGAGAAUAUUUU
Molecule: long non-coding RNA, 1345 nt
Filed under: Anser brachyrhynchus (Pink-footed goose)
Lineage: Eukaryota; Metazoa; Chordata; Aves; Anseriformes; Anatidae
Description: lncRNA (ENSABRG00000012710.1)
Source: RNAcentral